UGUCGAACAUGAUGAAAGUAAUUUACGGGUGAUGAUCAACAUCAUGUGAUCAAGAAUCUACUCGCUACGUUCUUUCUGAUUCUUCU
Small nucleolar RNA from Quercus robur (English oak), 86 nucleotides. RefSeq annotates it as small nucleolar RNA R32/R81/Z41. NCBI's taxonomy places the organism in Eukaryota, Viridiplantae, Streptophyta, Magnoliopsida, Fagales, Fagaceae. The record is from RefSeq and is a predicted model, not a curated record. The transcript has a single exon.